This 342-nucleotide RNase P RNA is filed under the name human gut metagenome. RNAcentral's name for it is "Bacterial RNase P class A". It matches the Rfam family "Bacterial RNase P class A". From Rfam's summary of the family: Ribonuclease P (RNase P) is a ubiquitous endoribonuclease, found in archaea, bacteria and eukarya as well as chloroplasts and mitochondria. Its best characterised activity is the generation of mature 5'-ends of tRNAs by cleaving the 5'-leader elements of precursor-tRNAs. Cellular RNase Ps are ribonucleoproteins. The record is from RNAcentral.
AUUGGGUAAUUACGGGUGUAGUGUUGAAAAACCGCACCUGAGGAAAGUCCGAGCUCCGCAUGGCAGGAUAACGGUUAACGACCGCCGGGGGUGACCCUAGGGAUAGUGCAACAGAAAUAUACCGCCUGUUUUUCAGGUAAGGAUGGAAAGGCGAGGUAAGAGCUCACCAGCAUACGGGAGACUGUAUGGCUCUGUAAACCCUAUCCGGAGCAACACCGUGGUUAUAAGGGCGUUUUACAUUUGCCAGAUGUGCCCUUGGGAGGUGGCAGUGAGCUGAGUCGGCAACGCUCAGCCAAGAUAGAUGAUUACCUUUAACAGAAUUCGGCUUAUAGAUCUACUUAU